GAUGAACGCUGGCGGCGUGCCUAAUACAUGCAAGUCGAGCGAACAGACGAGGAGCUUGCUCCUCUGACGUUAGCGGCGGACGGGUGAGUAACACGUGGAUAACCUACCUAUAAGACUGGGAUAACUUCGGGAAACCGGAGCUAAUACCGGAUAAUAUAUUGAACCGCAUGGUUCAAUAGUGAAAGACGGUUUUGCUGUCACUUAUAGAUGGAUCCGCGCCGCAUUAGCUAGUUGGUAAGGUAACGGCUUACCAAGGCAACGAUGCGUAGCCGACCUGAGAGGGGGACGCCCCACACGGGACCUGCACCCCGGUCCAGACCCCUGCGGGGGGCGCCAGGAGGCAUUCCUCCGCAAUGGGCGAACGCCUGACGGAGCAACGCCGCGUGAGGGAUAAGGUUCUUCGGAUCUUAAACCUUUUUUAUUGGGAAGAAAAAAAUGUGAAAGUACCUCUGCGCGUUUGGACGCUCCCUAACAAGAACCCCCCGCCUAACCACGCC
Molecule: ribosomal RNA, 497 nt
Filed under: uncultured bacterium
Lineage: Bacteria
Description: partial 16S ribosomal RNA
Rfam family: Bacterial small subunit ribosomal RNA
Source: RNAcentral